This 305-nucleotide ribosomal RNA is filed under the name uncultured bacterium. Its description in RNAcentral is "bacterial SSU rRNA". It matches the Rfam family "Bacterial small subunit ribosomal RNA", at positions 332 to 658 of the family's 1533-position model. The record is from RNAcentral.
CAUACCUCGGGCGCAGCAGUGGGGAAUAUUGCACAAUGGGGGAAACCCUGAUGCAGCGACGCCGCGUGAGUGAAGAAGUAUCUCGGUACGUAAAGCUCUAUCAGCAGGGAAGAAAAUGACGGUACCUGACUAAGAAGCCCCGGCUAACUACGUGCCAGCAGCCGCGGUAAUACGUAGGGGGCAAGCGUUAUCCGGAUUUACUGGGUGUAAAGGGAGCGUAGACGGCAGCACAAGUCUGGAGUGAAAUCCCGGGGCUUAACCCCGGAACUGCUUUGGAAACUGUGCAGCUAGAGUGCGGGAGAGGG